RNAcentral lists this long non-coding RNA (211 nucleotides) under Elaeis guineensis (African oil palm). Its description in RNAcentral is "long non-coding RNA (EGUI_LNC031493)". The record is from RNAcentral. Lineage: Eukaryota; Viridiplantae; Streptophyta; Magnoliopsida; Arecales; Arecaceae.
CCUUAUCAUAAUAGAACUAACAGGGGUCUCUUCUGUGAAGGCCUCUUCCAUGCGGGUAUACUUCUCAGCACAGAUAAGCAUGUCUGAAAAAUUUUGAGAAUAAGACUUGGUCAACAACUUCUUCAAGUCAUUCCUCAGUAGGUUGCCCAUUAUCAUGGUCAUCGCAGUCGACUGAUCCAGAUCAUAGAUCUUCAGAGUCACCAUGUUAAAA